RNAcentral lists this ribosomal RNA (425 nucleotides) under uncultured bacterium. RNAcentral's name for it is "partial 16S ribosomal RNA". It matches the Rfam family "Bacterial small subunit ribosomal RNA", at positions 354 to 796 of the family's 1533-position model. The record is from RNAcentral.
GUGGGGGAUAUUGCACAAUGGGGGAAACCCUGAUGCAGCGACGCCGCGUGGAGGAAGAAGGUUUUCGGAUUGUAAACUCCUGUCGUUAGGGACGAUAAUGACGGUACCUAACAAGAAAGCACCGGCUAACUACGUGCCAGCAGCCGCGGUAAAACGUAGGGUGCAAGCGUUGUCCGGAAUUACUGGGUGUAAAGGGAGCGCAGGCGGGAAGACAAGUUGGAAGUGAAAACCAUGGGCUCAACCCAUGAAUUGCUUUCAAAACUGUUUUUCUUGAGUAGUGCAGAGGUAGAUGGAAUUCCCAGUGUAGCGGUGGAAUGCGUAGAUAUCGGGAGGAACACCAGUGGCGAAGGCGGUCUACUGGGCACCAACUGACGCUGAGGCUCGAAAGCAUGGGUAGCAAACAGGAUUAGAUACCCGAGUAGUCC